AUGGAGAUUUUGAGAUGGAUGCUUGUGAGAAUUGCGGUAGCUACGACACCGAACAAGAGGGCGACAAAUACCACAUGGUGAUCCGUUGCACUAAAUGCGGCGAUAAGAAAUUUCUCAGCAGCUAUCGCGACGAGGGCGAAGACAAGUGGCGAGANNNACGACGACAGAAACUACCGCUGAACUGCAACCACUGACGGAGAUGAGAGAUGGACCAGAUGUUUCUGGACGAAGCCGAAAAGUAUACGCCGCUCGGCCCCCACUAUUUCGCCGCGCGCAAGACCGCCGAAACAUUCAUGGCCGAUUUCCAGAACGAACAUUUUCAACCGCUCGCGAAAAAAUUC
RNAcentral lists this unclassified non-coding RNA (341 nucleotides) under Hevea brasiliensis (rubber tree). The record is from RNAcentral. Lineage: Eukaryota; Viridiplantae; Streptophyta; Magnoliopsida; Malpighiales; Euphorbiaceae.